UUCUCAAACACUAGCACAUAUUUCAAUCUAACACGGAUCUUUAUUUUUUGUAGAAUAUCCUGUAUGAAAGUCCAACAGAUAAUACUACAGAACAAGAGUCACAUGAAGACACUUUUGUAGUUGCUAAUGUUAAUAAAGAUUAUGAACAGAAACAGUAUGCAAGAAAAGUAUAUAAGAGGAAACAUGCUGCUCUUCUGAGUGACAAGGAAUCAGCUACCUUCAUUCAAAAAAAUAUCAAGACUACAUUGAGAGAAGAUCCAAAAGAUGAUCUCAUAAAACAAGAGCCUGAAGAUACAAAAAUCAUAUAUGUAUCAGAUGAUGCUGACAAUGAAAAAUACAAAGAAUCAGACGGCAGUAAAAGAAUAGGAAGAAUGCAGAGACAUGUUAUGAAACUCGAAGACAAUGAAGAUUCUGAAAGUCACUACAAAAAUUCAAAGUUGCAAAGAAAAAUAAAGUGUGCUAAAAGAACAAUUAAAUACGAAAAGAGACACAAAAAGGAAGGUAUUAACAAUAAUUCCCCCAGCAAAAAGGCAUCAAAUUCAGUUGCAUGCGUGAAAGAAGAACCGGAAGAUAGCGAUGUAAGCAGCAUAGAUCAAAGUGGAUGCAAAGAAGAAAAAUCUUCAUCAAGCAAACUGCAGUGUGGCAAUCAAACAAGACGAAGAUACAUGACAAUAGAAGAUGACUCCGAAGAAGACUGCAUAGAAGGAUCUGAAAAAAAAGGCUCAAGCAUUGAUAACAGUCACGCCACACGGAAAUCUAUUGUAAAAAAAGCCAUAAGAACUGGAGAAAGAUUGGCCAAGAAAAUAGAAGAUGACUCCGAAGAAGACUGCAUAAAAGGAUCUGAAAAAAAAGUCUGCAGCAUUGAUAACAGUCACACCAGACGAAAAUCUAUUGUAGAAAAAGCCAUAAGAAUUGGAGAAAAAUUGGCCAAGAAAAUUGAUCGGCUGGAAGAUCAAAUAAAUAAACAAAGACCUAAGAGAGCAAUCAAAGCCAACCCAAAGUAUGCAGAUAUUUCUUAAAUUAUCAGUGUGUGAUACGUACUACAAAUAUGUAACAUUAUCAGUGGACAAUCAAGUCUCUUAAUAGACAUUAGCU
Long non-coding RNA from Phragmites australis (common reed), 1095 nucleotides. RefSeq lists it as uncharacterized. The record is from RefSeq and is a predicted model, not a curated record. NCBI's taxonomy places the organism in Eukaryota, Viridiplantae, Streptophyta, Magnoliopsida, Poales, Poaceae. The transcript is spliced from 3 exons.